Molecule: ribosomal RNA, 496 nt
Filed under: uncultured bacterium
Lineage: Bacteria
Description: partial 16S ribosomal RNA
Rfam family: Bacterial small subunit ribosomal RNA
Source: RNAcentral
AUGAACGCUGGCGGCGUGCCUAAUACAUGCAAGUCGAGCGAACAGACGAGGAGCUUGCUCCUCUGACGUUAGCGGCGGACGGGUGAGUAACACGUGGAUAACCUACCUAUAAGACUGGGAUAACUUCGGGAAACCGGAGCUAAUACCGGAUAAUAUAUUGAACCGCAUGGUUCAAUAGUGAAAGACGGUUUUGCUGUCACUUAUAGAUGGAUCCGCGCCGCAUUAGCUAGUUGGUAAGGUAACGGCUUACCAAGGCAACGAUGCGUAGCCGACCUGAGAGGGUAAUCGGCCACACUGGAACUGAGACACGGUCCAGACUCCUACGGGAGGCAGCAGUAGGGAAUCUUCCGCAAUGGGCGAAAGCUUGACGGAGCAACGCCGCGUGAGUGAUGAAGGUCUUCGGAUCGUAAAACUCUGUUAUUAGGGAAGAACAAAUGUGUAAGUAACUAUGCACGUCUUGACGGUACCUAAUCAGAAAGCCACGGCUAACUACGUG